Long non-coding RNA from Athene cunicularia (burrowing owl), 2907 nucleotides. RefSeq lists it as uncharacterized. The transcript is spliced from 3 exons. The record is from RefSeq and is a predicted model, not a curated record. NCBI's taxonomy places the organism in Eukaryota, Metazoa, Chordata, Aves, Strigiformes, Strigidae.
CAAGAUUUCUGUUAACCCACAAUUCACCACUAGACUUGAAAUUUAACUCACUCUUAGCCACGUGCUGCUUCAGUGUGAGCGAACCUACACAGAAACACAAUGUUCUGCUGCAGAGAAGGGGGAGAAAGCGACACCGCUUCGUUCAGUGGAGUUACAAACCUUAACUGAGGUACCAAGGCCAAACCCCUCUGCAUUUAAAUGGAGUAAAGGGAAAUGUGUUGUGAGACACCGAGUUUACACCACAAUGGCCGUUAGAGCAGGGACUUGGACCCAGGCCUGCUCUCUUGGAGCGGUACAAAAUUUCCACCCGUUGCUGGCAGAUCCAGCGCCCCAGGGGGAGGCAGCACAGAGACCCCUCACACCGGCCGAGGUCGUGAGGCAGCGGCAGCGGGUACAAGUGGGGUUUCUGGCCCUUUGCACCCCCCUGCCUGCAGCAGAUAGCUCACCCACCUCCUCCUGCCGCCGGGAAUGCGUCCUACAGCACGGAGCCGUACAAGCGGAAUAUUUGACAAAGCUCAGCUCUGAAGGGCCCUGUAGACCUUUGCUGGCUGGCAGAGUGCAUGCAGCUCACACCCGGGAGGCCAAACACACCAGGCCUCCUCGAGCUGACUUGGGAAUUAUUUACAGGUCUCCUACACCCUCCCUGAAGGAUUUAUGCACCAACCCACUGGGUUGAAAGCAGGCAACCACACCCUCUGAGUUUUUGUGAAGUCCAGCUGAGGAAAGAUCCUCAGGAAAAAUCUACUAGACCAGAGAAAACAGUGCCUCCUAGGUAGUGUCAGCCCAAAACACCACCCAGUUAUAAUGUGGGGUUUACUGAUAUUCUUUUUUUGCAAGCAGUAAGUGUGUUUAGAGCAUCAUUUGGUUCACAGGCAAAGGAAGGGUGAUCUCAAUUUCAAAGAGAACGUGCAUUUUACUUCUGAGUCACAGAUACGCAAUUACAUGUGUGAAAAAAAAAUGAGAAUAAUACAGGUGACUACAUUUAGCCCUUGCUAUCUCAGAGGAAGAUAAACUUUCUCAUUCACUGUCAGGGGAGUAACUUAGAUGUGCCUGGCUUUGCCAACCUCCCUUUUCCCUGUGUGAAUUAUUUCUCCUGUGGCUCAUGAGGUGUUUCCAGAAUGACCUGCACACAGCUAGAUCAAACUCCUGUUACCAUUUCAUGUUUUCCAUUCAAGACUGCCAUUUCUAACGGUUUUACUUCAUUUUCAAGAACUCUAAUUGGGUUUGUAAAACACUGUUUUUCCUCUGAGUUAAGACCAAAAAGACAGUCAUCUCUCUGAUCAACGCCUCUGAGGUUUCCAAGAGAACAUGUGCUGAAAUCCCAAAGGCAGUUUUAUGGUGUGAAUUCAAGACACUUUUUAUUUCUAAUAAGAAAGCUAUAUGACUUCCAAUAUUCAUAAAGCAUUGUUACCACCUAAGAGUUUGAAGUACAAUUUGCCCUUCAUGCAGAUAGAGAUUGGAAGCACAGAUUAAGGGGAAAAAAAACCCAAACAAAUGAUAGGAUAAUGCUAGUAAUAGAAGUUUUAAUUUUAAAAAAGGAGAUCAUUUGAAGGGGAAAGAUAAAUUGUAUUGACAAAGAAAAUUGAGUUUUACUAAAAUGAUGUCUUCAUUUAUCAUGUAAGUUUUACUAAGAACAAGCUAGAAAAGUGAUUAGAGUAGACGUGAUCAAAAUUGUUACUGAGAUUUGGCAAGGUGGCAGAUCUUUAUCUGACACCUAAAACAUGAUCAAGAAUCAAAAGCAAAUGUUACAAAUAUGGAAUUUGAUGCGUUUCUAGGCAGAGGACCAGAUCCUGUCCUGCAUAAAGGAAAAACUAUUAAACUAGCUCAGCUCUGACAUCUAAGGGGCUGAUUGCCACUGUGGUCCCCCAGCAACAGUUCUGCAUACUGAUUUUUGAGGAUCUUUACCAUCAAUUUAGGACUUGGAGGAAGGCUCCUUAAGGCUUCAUCUGUAUUUGUUCAUUAAACUUACCCAGGACCAUUCUCUGGCACAGGGACCAGCUGGCAGGGGACGGCCUCUUCCUCCACAGGUGACCAUGCAAUUCGAAUUUAGCAUCUGUGUGCAGAUACAGAAAGGCCUUUAGAAUGUGAUUUACUAUCUGUCUGGGACAAAGGAUGCUUCUCAAUUAAGCACUUGGUUAAGGACUCUGUUGUCUUAAUAUAAUCACCACAAUGGUGAUAGAGAAGUAAAAAAAUUCUAUAUCAUGUAGCCAGUUCACUCAGUCUUCCAGGCAGUGAUUUUUAUUCUAACGUAAAUCAAAAGAGUGACUAACCCACCCUCUCCCUCUCCUGAGAAGGUAGACGUGUCACCUGGGAAAAAACCCGUAACUUCACUUUCCCCUUCCAUUGCAAAUGAGUUUUCUUAGCCUAAUUGACUUCAUGUGUUUUUAUGCCCUUCCUGUUUUUAACAGCCAGUCAAAAUGAAACCACUUCUGGGCUAAAAUUAAUGGUAAGUCACAGGUAAUGAAGAAUCUGUACUUCAGACACUCCCACAAUGAAUGAAAGAGCUUCACUGAGAAGGGUAUAGAAGUAAUAAACUUGUAAUAAAUGUCAGAAAGAUGUGAGCCCUUUAUUGGAAAAAAAACCUCAUGUACUGCUUUUAACAACUGAAGCUGUCAGUUAUAUAAAUGAUAAUGUGCGUUGAGGGAAAGUAAGCUAUAAAUCCUUUACCUCUGAAAUGAAAUUUUAUCAAACUUCAGGAAAUAGGUUGAUGACAAAAUUAAUUCUCUGGUAAUGCCAAAUAUAGACACAUCUGGCUAUCAGUGUUUUGAAUUCAGGGCAAAAAGGGUUUUCCUAAAUAUUUCCUUGCAUCACAAGCGCCUUGCAUCUAAAAGCGCCUGUGUCCUUUUGAUCAUCCUCACCCUCACACUGAAAACAGUUCUGGAAUAUUAUUUUUACCAUCACUGAGUG